ACCCGCUGAACUUAAGCAUAUCACUAAGGGGAGGAAGAGAAACUAACGAGGAUUCCCUCAGUAACGGCGAGUGAAGCGGGAAGAGCUCAGAAUUUGGAAUCUCCUGUUUCUUUGACAGGCGAAUUGUAGUUUUCAUUUGGAUGAGCAUCUGUGUUGGUGUGAUUUACAAUUGGAUGUGCAAGUUUCCUUGGAAGAGGACACCAGAGAGGGUGAGAGUCCCGUUGCAGCGUCCUGUCGCACUCCGGUUAUGUUGCUUGUCUGUUGAGUCGGGUUGUUUGGGAAUGCAGCCCAAAAGGGGUGGUAAAUUUCAUCCAAGGCUAAAUAUGGGCACGAGACCGAUAGCGCACAAGUACCGUGAGGGAAAGAUGAAAAGCACUUUGAAAAGAGAGUUAAACAGUACGUGAAACCGUUGGAAGGGAAUCGGUUGCCGCUAGCAAAAUGAUAGAAGCUGCGUAAUCAGGCAAGAAUAUAUAGUUGUAUGUAUCUUUGCUGCACUUGCGUGGUUUUCUGUGUCAGCAUGGAUUUGGUGUGUGGGAGACGGUUGUGCGAGGGCGCCCUUGUGCGUGGCAUACAGCCUGUUGCUGCACGCUGGAUUGAGGAAGAACCAACACUAUCGUGGCCCCAUGUGCUGUUCUCAGCAGACAUGCUGCAGACAAAUUUUUCAUGGUUUGUGUGUGGAUGUGUGUGUUGGGAAUGUUGUGUGUGGUGUGUGCAUUUGGUGUUGUGAGAUGCUGGCGACAGGGCUGCAACCGGCCCGUCUUGAAACACGGACCAAGGAGUCCAACACAUGCGCAAGUCUUAUUCAAUAGCAAAAAGAAUGGGGCGAAAUGAAAGUGAGAGGUGAGACGAUGAAAACACUUUUUCAUUGGCAUCAUCGACCAAUCUGGAUUGUUUGCAUUUGUAAACUUGAAGGAAUUGCGUUUGAGCGUGUGUGCUGGGACCCGAAAGAUGGUGAACUAUGCCUGAGUAGGGUGAAGCCAGAGGAAACUCUGGUGGAGGCUCGUAGCGGUUCUGACGUGCAAAUCGAUCGUCAAACUUGGGUAUAGGGGCGAAAGACUCAUCGAACCAUCUUGUAGCUGGUUCCCACCGAAGUUUCCCUCAGGAUAGCUGGAACUUUUAUAAUAAUCGCAGUUUUAUCGGGUCAAGCGAAUGAUUAGAGGCCUUGGGGAGCGAUUUUCCUCAACCUAUUCUCAAACUUUAAAUAGGUAAGACGCACAACUUAGUUUAGUCAAGUUGUGUAUGUAAUGCGAGUUCCAAGUGGGCUUGUUUUGGUAAGCAGAACUGGCGAUGCGGGAUGAACCGAACGCAGAGUUACGGUGCCGGAAUCGACGCUCAUGAGAACCCAGAAAAGGUGUUGGUUGAUAUAGACAGCAGGACGGUGGCCAUGGAAGUCGGAAUCCGCUAAGGAGUGUGUAACAACUCACCUGCCGAAUCAACUAGCCCUGAAAAUGGAUGGCGCUCAAGCGUCGUACCUAUACUCUGCUGUUUAUUCAACAUGGAAAUGAAUAUGUGAGCAAUCAUGUAUUUCAUUCAACUUUAUGGAUAAACAAGUAGGUGGGCGUUGUGGUUUCGUGGAAGCAUGUGGCGUGAGCCUGUGUGGAGAAGCCUCAAGUGCAGAUCUUGGUGACAGUAGCAACGAUUCAAAUGGGAGCUUUGAAGACUGAAGUGGAGCAAGGUUCCGUGGGAACAGCACUUGGCCACGGGUGAGUCGGUCCUAAGAGAUGGGUCAACUCUGUCUAGACACUGUGUACAUGGAUGUAUUUUGUGUACAAGUUAUCGAAAGGGAACCAGGUUAAGAUUCCUGGACCAGGGCACACAUUUUGGUGAAGCGGCAACGCAACCAAACUCGGAGACGCUGGCGGCAGCCCUAGAAAGAGUUUUCUUUUCUUUUUAACAGAUUCAUGGGGGUUUGCAAAAAGCAAUUUUUGUUUUCCUCUGGACAU
Molecule: ribosomal RNA, 1943 nt
Filed under: Microstomoeca roanoka
Lineage: Eukaryota; Choanoflagellata; Craspedida; Salpingoecidae
Description: eukaryotic LSU rRNA
Rfam family: Eukaryotic large subunit ribosomal RNA
Source: RNAcentral